CUCGCCAGCUCUGGCCUCUGGCGUCUCCCCCCUUGAAACAAGCCGAGUCAUGCGGGGGGAAGAACAGGAGGCGGCCGGAGGAGAAGGAAUCGCAACAGAUCGGGAAGGAAAACGAGGGAGCUUUCUUACUUUGAGGGGAAUGUUGUCUGGCUCGAGGUGCGCAGAAAUUAAACCUGGUGAUCGAUGGAGAUCUCAUCGAUCUAGGUUGAUCUCGGACCAGGCUUCAUUCCCCUCAAGUAGAGCUCCCGGUUGUUCCGCGCGCGCCGAUCCCCCUCUUGUUCUUGCCUCGCGCUCGCAUGGUGAGUUUCUCUCGGUCAUCGAUCUUGCGCGAUUUUCUAGAUCUCUUGGCCGGUUUGAACAUCUGAUGGCUCGCGUGAUCUAGCUAGGUUAUUGUGCCCACGCGCGGCUGCAACCAUGCAUGAUUAGGAUAUGAUUAUCUCGGCGAAUGUUUCCCUUGUGUUGGGUUUCGUGCGAUCUAGCAUGCAGCAGAUUGGUGCAAUCAUGAGGAUUCUUGACUCUGAAUAACCUGCAUGCUUUCUCCAAUUCUCCUCUUUCUUUAAACUAUGGCAUGUCAUCUUGCUUGUUAGUUGUGGUCUUUUUCCCAUGCCCACUUUUUCCGAGAUCCCUAAUCUGACAGGAGAAAGAUGGGGGGAAAAGUUUGUGUAUCAUCGAUGACUUUUACAUGAAGGAUCUUCUUAUCUUCUCUUUUGAUCCGUACUAUAGCAUCUUUAUCUUUCUCUCUCCUAGACCUAGCUGCGCUAAUCUCCCUUUUCAUGUCAAGAGAUCUAGUGUUAACUAAAUCCCCAUCUAACGCUAGUCAUAUUGCAUCAAUCUGUAUAGCUGGUACCAUAUAUAUAUCUCCUGAAUACCAAAAGUUCUUUCUCAUAAAUAGCUAGAUCAAUCCAACAAGUGUUGCUAGUUCCCUAUUUGAUCUCCACAAACUAAGAGCAAGGGAUAACUUAAAAGAACGAUACUGUAUCCGGCCCGAUGUGUGUUUCUGAAUAGUGAAGACGAAGGAGCAUACAACAUGCGCACCUUUUUGCCUGAGCUCAUAUGUGUGUUCUCUUGAUGCAGAAUAAAUACUGCCAUCUACUAACAUCAAUUGCAGAUUUGUUUCUUCGGAAGACCAGGCCAAAAAUUAACGUACUGGGGUGUGGUUCAUGAGUAGUUGUCCCAUUCCCUUUGUUUCCUCAUACAUCAAAGCAGGACACAUCAUGCUGCUGAUGAACCUGUCCCACGGGGGGCAUGGCCAUGGGGCAGGCUCCAACAAGCUAAGUUAAGCAGGCCUGUAACUUUGCAAUUCUGCAUUCACCCCCGCCAUGUGCUAUACCUUCCAACUAUGUGCACGUUAUCAUGAAACAUUCCAUGAAUGUUUAGCGGUAGAGCCUACAUAUAUACAACUAUGUAAAGGGCUAUCGUAAUGGCGCUUUAUGGCUGUUCUAACUAUACCGCUUAUAGUGUGCUAGUAGGAAGUGAUUAUUCCAUAUGACAUCGUAUGCAUUUAUUUGGAUAAAUCAAAAGUGACAUAAAUCACAUUGUUGGUGGCUCACUUAUAUGAAAGAAAUGUCUCCGAAGACCAAAACACAUGUUAGUAACGGCACCCUACAAAUGGUUUUUUGCUUAAGUUGUUUCUCGAUCAUAUUCACAUUCUUGUGCUCACAAUGUUGAUACACAUGCAGCGUACUAGUAUAUACUCUUUCAAUAUAUGCAUCUGACUGGCGCAGGUUAAUGCACAAAGGACGCAGAUUUUAAUAUAUGCAGGUAACUUGUUGUCAGGCGGCACAGCAGCCAGCUGGUUAACUUUUUUGGCAGGUCAGGAGUGAGUACGUCGUUUGAGGUUUGUGCUCAACAAGUUCAUGUGCGAUGCUUUCUUUCUUUCUUUUUUUCUUUUUUUGCUAGGAAGUUCAUUUGCAGUGUUGAUUAGCUGUGGUGUCCUUUUGAAGAAGGGACAGAGGUCGGGAACCUUCAGGCAACACAAAUUGGAGAAGCGGUUGAGCAAGACAGUCACGUGCAUGCAAUGGAAUUAUCCUUUUUUAAGUGUGUGCAUCAAGUACCAUUGUCUUGUUGGAGAUUCGGAGGAGGUGACAUGGGGCAGGAUAUAAUUAGGUGUACCAAAACCCUAAAGUGAGCCAAGGCAUAGCAAUGGUUUAGGUCAUUAGGUGUCCUUGUUCUGCGCACCGUACUAAAAUAUACUCCUUGGUGGAAUUGGUGUUUCAGGCUUCAUAUCUAUCCGUGGAUGCCAAUUUUUGUCUACAACAUACAUUGGUUAGAACUCUGAAUCAAAGAGGAUAGUAAAGUUUCUCACUCCAAAUACUAGAUUCAGAACUCGGAUGGGUUAAAAAAAAUAGAGUAUCCUUGACUUGUGCUA
This is a long non-coding RNA of Panicum virgatum (switchgrass), 2368 nucleotides long. RefSeq lists it as uncharacterized. The record is from RefSeq and is a predicted model, not a curated record. Lineage: Eukaryota; Viridiplantae; Streptophyta; Magnoliopsida; Poales; Poaceae. The transcript has 2 exons.